UUUUGGGCUGGAAGAUGAUUCUGGGAACUUGCCAAAGAGGGUUUAUUUUACCAACCAGUUCUCUGAGUAGUCCACAAUAAGAAAAGGGAGAAAGUUAUUUUUAGAAAACUGUAUUUUUUUCUUACCAGGUAAAAAAGUUGUGAAAUUGAGAGUGGAAGGUAGAGAGUGGGGAAUUAAAAGGUGAAAACUAGAGAGAAGAGAGAGAAGAGAGAGAGAGAAGAGAGAGAGAAUCGUUUCCCUCCGGCGUACGGCCGGCGCGUGUGCGUCCGUGCCGUCGCCGGAGAAUUUCUUUCGUCUUGUUUUCGAUCCCUUUCCUCGGUGUCUUCGCAGAUCCACUAUCGUUCGCCUUGUCGGAGCUCUGUUGCCGUCACUUAUCGUAAAUGGUGGUGCGGCUUUGGAGUCGAGACGCGUCCGUACGGUGGAGCGCGGAGGUGACGGGGCUUUUGAUGCGCGCACUGGUGGUUUUAUUUCCGGGCGAUGGAGGCUUUCAUAGUUCCGUUGACGUCGGUUCUCUUGUGGGGGGUGGAGGCUCUCAUAGAUCCACCGUCGUCACUUUUGCUUCCGGGAAGGUGAGGUUUCUUUAACUCUCUUCGCCGGCUACUGGAUUACGGUGAGAGGAGGCUCACAUAGCUCCUUGAUACCGGGGUGGGACCCUUUGUUUUGGGUGUGGUGAUUAGAUCGAGGAUGGUAGAAGCGGUGGGCUUUGUCUUCUGUGAGGGGUUCGUGGGUCGCCGACGAUGAGAUAUCAGUUUAAGCUCUCCGGCGACGGCGAAGAAGUUUCUAGAAGAAGUUUAUGCGGUUCUCGGCUCGGCUGUCCAGCGUUUCUGGUGGUCCAAAGUCGGAGGUGUUCUCGGUUAUCUGAUGAACACGCCGGCGUGAAGACAGUUCGGCGAUGAACGUGUGGGUUCGUGCGGAGGCUCUGCAGGUUCGGAGCUCCGGCGGCUGUGGCGUCUCCUUGAGGCGCAUCUAGGGCGAACUGCCCGGUUUGGGCCGUGUGGCUGUCAGGUUUUAAUUGGGCUUGGCCCAUUGUGUUUUCUUUGUCUUGUUGCCCGGUUCGUGGGCCUUUGUUUUUUUAAAUCCUGUUAUGUUUGGGCUUCGGCUCUGGGCUUGGCCCAUCUAUCAAUAAUAACAAUUUGGGAAAAAAAAAAAAGUUGUGAAACAUAGUGGGCAACUGGUCAUUCACGAG
RNAcentral lists this long non-coding RNA (1186 nucleotides) under Brassica napus (rape). RNAcentral's name for it is "long non-coding RNA (BNAP_LNC008209)". Lineage: Eukaryota; Viridiplantae; Streptophyta; Magnoliopsida; Brassicales; Brassicaceae. The record is from RNAcentral.